RNAcentral lists this ribosomal RNA (2899 nucleotides) under Escherichia coli. RNAcentral's name for it is "bacterial LSU rRNA". It matches the Rfam family "Bacterial large subunit ribosomal RNA". Lineage: Bacteria; Pseudomonadati; Pseudomonadota; Gammaproteobacteria; Enterobacterales; Enterobacteriaceae. The record is from RNAcentral.
UAAGCGACUAAGCGUACACGGUGGAUGCCCUGGCAGUCAGAGGCGAUGAAGGACGUGCUAAUCUGCGAUAAGCGUCGGUAAGGUGAUAUGAACCGUUAUAACCGGCGAUUUCCGAAUGGGGAAACCCAGUGUGAUUCGUCACACUAUCAUUAACUGAAUCCAUAGGUUAAUGAGGCGAACCGGGGGAACUGAAACAUCUAAGUACCCCGAGGAAAAGAAAUCAACCGAGAUUCCCCCAGUAGCGGCGAGCGAACGGGGAGGAGCCCAGAGCCUGAAUCAGUGUGUGUGUUAGUGGAAGCGUCUGGAAAGGCGCGCGAUACAGGGUGACAGCCCCGUACACAAAAAUGCACAUGCUGUGAGCUCGAUGAGUAGGGCGGGACACGUGGUAUCCUGUCUGAAUAUGGGGGGACCAUCCUCCAAGGCUAAAUACUCCUGACUGACCGAUAGUGAACCAGUACCGUGAGGGAAAGGCGAAAAGAACCCCGGCGAGGGGAGUGAAAAAGAACCUGAAACCGUGUACGUACAAGCAGUGGGAGCACGCUUAGGCGUGUGACUGCGUACCUUUUGUAUAAUGGGUCAGCGACUUAUAUUCUGUAGCAAGGUUAACCGAAUAGGGGAGCCGAAGGGAAACCGAGUCUUAACUGGGCGUUAAGUUGCAGGGUAUAGACCCGAAACCCGGUGAUCUAGCCAUGGGCAGGUUGAAGGUUGGGUAACACUAACUGGAGGACCGAACCGACUAAUGUUGAAAAAUUAGCGGAUGACUUGUGGCUGGGGGUGAAAGGCCAAUCAAACCGGGAGAUAGCUGGUUCUCCCCGAAAGCUAUUUAGGUAGCGCCUCGUGAAUUCAUCUCCGGGGGUAGAGCACUGUUUCGGCAAGGGGGUCAUCCCGACUUACCAACCCGAUGCAAACUGCGAAUACCGGAGAAUGUUAUCACGGGAGACACACGGCGGGUGCUAACGUCCGUCGUGAAGAGGGAAACAACCCAGACCGCCAGCUAAGGUCCCAAAGUCAUGGUUAAGUGGGAAACGAUGUGGGAAGGCCCAGACAGCCAGGAUGUUGGCUUAGAAGCAGCCAUCAUUUAAAGAAAGCGUAAUAGCUCACUGGUCGAGUCGGCCUGCGCGGAAGAUGUAACGGGGCUAAACCAUGCACCGAAGCUGCGGCAGCGACGCUUAUGCGUUGUUGGGUAGGGGAGCGUUCUGUAAGCCUGUGAAGGUGUGCUGUGAGGCAUGCUGGAGGUAUCAGAAGUGCGAAUGCUGACAUAAGUAACGAUAAAGCGGGUGAAAAGCCCGCUCGCCGGAAGACCAAGGGUUCCUGUCCAACGUUAAUCGGGGCAGGGUGAGUCGACCCCUAAGGCGAGGCCGAAAGGCGUAGUCGAUGGGAAACAGGUUAAUAUUCCUGUACUUGGUGUUACUGCGAAGGGGGAACGGAGAAGGCUAUGUUGGCCGGGCGACGGUUGUCCCGGUUUAAGCGUGUAGGCUGGUUUUCCAGGCAAAUCCGGAAAAUCAAGGCUGAGGCGUGAUGACGAGGCACUACGGUGCUGAAGCAACAAAUGCCCUGCUUCCAGGAAAAGCCUCUAAGCAUCAGGUAACAUCAAAUCGUACCCCAAACCGACACAGGUGGUCAGGUAGAGAAUACCAAGGCGCUUGAGAGAACUCGGGUGAAGGAACUAGGCAAAAUGGUGCCGUAACUUCGGGAGAAGGCACGCUGAUAUGUAGGUGAAGUCCCUCGCGGAUGGAGCUGAAAUCAGUCGAAGAUACCAGCUGGCUGCAACUGUUUAUUAAAAACACAGCACUGUGCAAACACGAAAGUGGACGUAUACGGUGUGACGCCUGCCCGGUGCCGGAAGGUUAAUUGAUGGGGUUAGCGCAAGCGAAGCUCUUGAUCGAAGCCCCGGUAAACGGCGGCCGUAACUAUAACGGUCCUAAGGUAGCGAAAUUCCUUGUCGGGUAAGUUCCGACCUGCACGAAUGGCGUAAUGAUGGCCAGGCUGUCUCCACCCGAGACUCAGUGAAAUUGAACUCGCUGUGAAGAUGCAGUGUACCCGCGGCAAGACGGAAAGACCCCGUGAACCUUUACUAUAGCUUGACACUGAACAUUGAGCCUUGAUGUGUAGGAUAGGUGGGAGGCUUUGAAGUGUGGACGCCAGUCUGCAUGGAGCCGACCUUGAAAUACCACCCUUUAAUGUUUGAUGUUCUAACGUGGACCCGUAAUCCGGGUUGCGGACAGUGUCUGGUGGGUAGUUUGACUGGGGCGGUCUCCUCCUAAAGAGUAACGGAGGAGCACGAAGGUUGGCUAAUCCUGGUCGGACAUCAGGAGGUUAGUGCAAUGGCAUAAGCCAGCUUGACUGCGAGCGUGACGGCGCGAGCAGGUGCGAAAGCAGGUCAUAGUGAUCCGGUGGUUCUGAAUGGAAGGGCCAUCGCUCAACGGAUAAAAGGUACUCCGGGGAUAACAGGCUGAUACCGCCCAAGAGUUCAUAUCGACGGCGGUGUUUGGCACCUCGAUGUCGGCUCAUCACAUCCUGGGGCUGAAGUAGGUCCCAAGGGUAUGGCUGUUCGCCAUUUAAAGUGGUACGCGAGCUGGGUUUAGAACGUCGUGAGACAGUUCGGUCCCUAUCUGCCGUGGGCGCUGGAGAAUUGAGGGGGCUGCUCCUAGUACGAGAGGACCGGAGUGGACGCAUCACUGGUGUUCGGGUUGUCAUGCCAAUGGCACUGCCCGGUAGCUAAAUGCGGAAGAGAUAAGUGCUGAAAGCAUCUAAGCACGAAACUUGCCCCGAGAUGAGUUCUCCCUGACUCCUUGAGAGUCCUGAAGGAACGUUGAAGACGACGACGUUGAUAGGCCGGGUGUGUAAGCGCAGCGAUGCGUUGAGCUAACCGGUACUAAUGAACCGUGAGGCUUAACCU